UACGGGGGGGGCAAGCGUUGUUCGGAAUUACUGGGCGUAAAGGGCUCGUAGGUGGCCAACUAAGUCGGACGUGAAAUCCCUCGGCUUAACCGGGGAACUGCGUCUGAUACUGGAUGGCUUGAGUUCGGGAGAGGGAUGCGGAAUUCCAGGUGUAGCGGUGAAAUGCGUAGAUAUCUGGAGGAACACCGGUGGCGAAGGCGGCUCUCUGGUACGUGACUGACGCUGAGACGCGAAAGCGUGGGGAGCGAACAGG
Molecule: ribosomal RNA, 253 nt
Filed under: uncultured bacterium
Lineage: Bacteria
Description: partial 16S ribosomal RNA
Rfam family: Bacterial small subunit ribosomal RNA
Source: RNAcentral